UUAAGACCUUAUAAAAUUAUAUCUACCAUGAUCCCAUAGCACUGAGCCAUGCAGCUGAAGCAGUAUCAAACUUAAAUAAUUCUACAGUGUAGAUGCAUCCAUGGAUAAACAGAAUGCAAGUGAGAAACCUAAGACAGAAAUACAAUACCCAGAAUGCUGCAUAACAAAACUGUGCAGGGCAAGGGGACUUCCCUGUGUCAAGUGAACUAGCUGACUUAAAAAUAGCCGACCGAGUGGCACCACCGCAGCUCCAAAGCUGAAAGGUUCCAGAAUAACAGUAGAAUCUCUGGUUUCCCAGCACAAAAAUGAGCAACAAGGCUGAGUAUCUACAUGGUACUUGAGCCCCUUAAGUGCCCCCCUAGAAACCAGUAAUAGGAGGAUAACAUUCUAGCUGGGAUAGGGAGGAGGGAAGAACACCUUUCAAAGAUAGAUGCAUACCCUUCUUUCAUAGAGCUUAGAAACUGAAUGAUGGAUUACAUUAAUAGACAGGAGUGCUCAUUCUAUUUAGUUGACCACAAAAAAGGAUCAGGUUCUACUAAGUUACAUGUGGUCUAUUCCAUUGUGCCCUUCUGCCAUAUAAUUAAAAUUACUGUGGUUCAAAUUA
Molecule: long non-coding RNA, 604 nt
Organism: Anolis carolinensis (green anole)
Lineage: Eukaryota; Metazoa; Chordata; Lepidosauria; Squamata; Anolidae
Exons: 2
Source: RefSeq, a predicted model, not a curated record